RNAcentral lists this ribosomal RNA (459 nucleotides) under uncultured bacterium. RNAcentral describes it as "partial 16S ribosomal RNA". It matches the Rfam family "Bacterial small subunit ribosomal RNA", at positions 339 to 795 of the family's 1533-position model. The record is from RNAcentral.
CUACGGGGUGCUGCAGUAAGGAAUAUUGCGCAAUGGAGGCAACUCUGACGCAGCCAUGCCGCGUGCAGGAAGAGGGCCUUAUGGGUCGUAAACUGCUUUUAUUUAGGAAUAAACCCCCGAACGUGUUCGGGGCUGAAGGUACUAAACGAAUAAGCACCGGCUAACUCCGUGCCAGCAGCCGCGGUAAUACGGAGGGUGCAAGCGUUAUCCGGAUUUAUUGGGUUUAAAGGGUGCGCAGGCGGGCUAUUAAGUCAGUGGUGAAAUCCCGGGGCUCAACUCCGGAACUGCCAUUGAUACUGAUAGUCUUGAGUUUGGUUGAAGUGGGCGGAAUGUAGCAUGUAGCGGUGAAAUGCAUAGAUAUGCUACAGAACACCAAUCGCGAAGGCAGCUCACUAAGCCAAAACUGACGCUCAUGCACGAAAGCGUGGGGAUCAAACAGGAUUAGAUACCCUCGUAGUC